This 238-nucleotide ribosomal RNA is filed under the name uncultured bacterium. RNAcentral describes it as "partial 16S ribosomal RNA". It matches the Rfam family "Bacterial small subunit ribosomal RNA", at positions 96 to 334 of the family's 1533-position model. The record is from RNAcentral.
UGGCAGACGGGUGAGUAACACGUAGAUAACCUACCCCUCCGUUGGGGAUAGCCACUGGAAACGGUGGGUAAAACCGAAUAUUCUCAUUUGAAGGCAUCUUCGGGUGAGGAAAACUCUGGUGUGGAGGGAUGGGUUUGCGACCUAUUAGCUAGUUGGUGUGGUAAUAGCGCACCAAGGCGACGAUGGGUAACCGGUCUGAGAGGACGGUCGGUCACACUGGCACUGAGAUACGGGCCAG